RNAcentral lists this ribosomal RNA (427 nucleotides) under uncultured archaeon. RNAcentral describes it as "bacterial SSU rRNA". It matches the Rfam family "Archaeal small subunit ribosomal RNA", at positions 44 to 473 of the family's 1478-position model. The record is from RNAcentral.
UUAAGCCAUGCGAGUCGAACGAGUUUAGGCUCGUGGCGUACGGCCCAGUAACACGUGGAUAACCUACCCUUAGGACCGGGAUAACCUUGGGAAACUGAGGAUAAUACUGGAUAGGCAAUUAUUUCUGCAAUGGUUUUUUGUUUAAAUGUUUUUUCGCCUAAGGAUGGGUCUGCGGCCGAUUAGGUAGUUGGUUAGGUAAAGGCUUACCAAGCCGUUGAUCGGUACGGGUUGUGAGAGCAAGAGCCCGGAGAUGGAACCUGAGACAAGGUUCCAGGCCCUACGGGGUGCAGCAGGCGCGAAACCUCCGCAAUGUGAGAAAUCGCGACGGGGGGAUCCCAAGUGCCAUUCUUAACGGGAUGGCUUUUCAUUAGUGUAAAGAGCUUUUGGAAUAAGGGCAGGGCAAGACCGGUGCCAGCCGCCGCGGUAA